AACAACCUUGCUUUGUGUGGGUUUGAUUCAACUUUGCUACGAUCUCAUAACAAAGUUCAAUGCCUUUUAUUAUCAUGUCACACCUCUGAAGCAUUAUCAGAAGAUAGAGGGCUCCUUGGUUGCUGUAUAUUAUCUAUUCCCGUCCUGCAGUUGAUCAAGGCCAAAAUCGUCUUUAUCAAAUGCUAGAAGUCUGAAUGAUAUAAACAAACUAAGCUUGAAUGAGUUAUUGGGGUCCGGCAGAGAGGGCACUCAGGCUUUUCAUUGCACCAUUCCAUUAUGCAAUUCCAGCAGAACACAUGACCGCAAGCUGUAGCAGUUGGGUACUGCCGAUUACUCAAGCAGAGUGUGCAUUUGCUCACCCCAUUUGCUCCGUAAGACUCUGAAGUUGAUGUGGAAUCUGACAACCAACCUCCCCUGCCCGUCUCCAUAGGUAUCAAAUUACCUUCUUCAUUUAGGACAGGCAAACGUCGCCCUGAACUUUGAUGGGGAUCAAUGGAGGUCUGAUGAACUGAACUUGCAAUAGAAGAUAUAUUGCUGCGGCGCAGACCUUCAGCAGCAAUAAUACAUAGCUGAAUUAGAAGGAACACACCCAGUAUUUGGUAUCUUGGUCUUUGAUUUGAUGGCUUUCCAAUGAAAACAUAACGAAUGCCAGCUGCACGUUUCGAUAUAUGAUAAUACAAACCUUCAAAGUAGAAAAACAUGAGGUUAGUGCGAAGAAUCAAUUGCAAAAGUUCACGAGCCACAGGAAGUGCCACAGGCCGUCGUCGAACUGCAUGCAACCAUAGUCCAA
Molecule: unclassified non-coding RNA, 790 nt
Filed under: Hevea brasiliensis (rubber tree)
Lineage: Eukaryota; Viridiplantae; Streptophyta; Magnoliopsida; Malpighiales; Euphorbiaceae
Source: RNAcentral